RNAcentral lists this ribosomal RNA (253 nucleotides) under uncultured bacterium. Its description in RNAcentral is "partial 16S ribosomal RNA". It matches the Rfam family "Bacterial small subunit ribosomal RNA", at positions 524 to 776 of the family's 1533-position model. The record is from RNAcentral.
CACGGGGGGAGCAAGCGUUGUUCGGAAUCACUGGGCGUAAAGGGCGUGUAGGCGGUCAGGUAAGUGGAAUGUGAAAGCCCUCGGCUCACCCGAGGAUCUGCAUUGCAAACUGCCUGGCUUGAGUAUGGGAGAGGAUGAGGGAAUUCCUGGUGUAGCGGUGAAAUGCGUAGAUAUCAUAAGGAAGACCAGUGGCGAAGGCGGGUCUCUGGACAGUUCCUGACGCUGAGGCACGAAGGCCAGGGGAGCAAACGGG